UAAAAUGUAUUUAGCAAAUAUAUUGGUAUUGGUGUGGAAGUCCAAGGCAGCCUCCUCUACAUUCUUUCAAUGUAGGCUAAAGGUUAACACGCAAUGCGCAGACCGGGGGAAGCCGAUCAUAAGUGAUGACGGUGGGAUUACCUGCUUUCUAAUUUCAACGCCGUCCGCUAAUUGCGGAAUAUUCCCAAUUGAGGAUGUAGCAAAUGUGUAUCAGUCCAGUCUUGAGUCUCACUCAGUCUUCAUUAGAUCGGCGCGAGCAUCGCCCCGAAUUCGUGCUUCGCUCCACGUCGUCGAUUUUCGAAUUCACAUAAUUUCAGCCUUACCGCAAAUCACAUGAUUUUACGCUGUCCCGACCGAAGUUCACCUUAAAUAUCUGUGUUACAUAUCGUCUGUUAAAUUUGUGUUAAAAAUCUUCGAUUUUCGGAUUAUCAUAUUUUUGGCCUCACCGCAAAUCGCAUAAUUUUAGGCGGUCCCGACUGACGUUUUCUUAAAUUAUCUGUGUGUCCAUGAAGUAAAGUUCACUUGCUGCACGUGGUUAACAACCGUUCGGACGAUAUCUUUAUUUAUGUGCCACGCCUCGAAGUUAAGAACAGAACCAACGCUAAAUCGAAUCUGUUCUCCGUGCGGUUUCUGCAAAGUUCGACAGUUAAUUUAAUGCUGUUUCUGAACGGUCUAUACUAUCUGUGAAGCAUCGGAAAUUUUACGAAAAUGUCAGAACUUGCGUGGACUCGGUCACCUCUCGCAGAUUACAAUUUUGGGUGCCUCAUUGUAUUUUUGUGACUACGUUUAUGGUGGUUUCAGAUUGGAGGGAAGAGAAAUUUUCAAAUACCGUCCGACCCAUCAUGCUUUUAUGCUAAACUACCGCCAUCGCUACCUGCGAAAAAUAUAAGACGGAACUACCUUCAACUGCGAUGGACGACAUCCGCACAACCAUCAACGACAGCAGUAACAACAUUCAAGCAACACUCAACAUCAAUCAAGUGACGCAGGGUUGUCUGCAGUUGGCAAUUAAUCGCAUUGCGUUCCACGCGUUGCGCGCUCGGCUCAAUCAGGCGUUGUAACAGCAACCUCAUAUUUCUGGAGUCCUUUUUACCGCCAAUGAUUUUAAACAUCGGAUGCAUUCUCUGCACGCAGGUAAUCGCAUUCUUGAAUGUGAACCAUUCUUCAAGUGUGUUCAACUAUUUGGGCAUGUAAUUCUAUUUUUCAGGCGGAA
Molecule: RNA transcript, 1213 nt
Organism: Bemisia tabaci
Lineage: Eukaryota; Metazoa; Arthropoda; Insecta; Hemiptera; Aleyrodidae
Source: RefSeq, a predicted model, not a curated record